RNAcentral lists this ribosomal RNA (269 nucleotides) under uncultured bacterium. RNAcentral describes it as "partial 16S ribosomal RNA". It matches the Rfam family "Bacterial small subunit ribosomal RNA", at positions 524 to 776 of the family's 1533-position model. The record is from RNAcentral.
UACGUAGGGUGCGAGCGUUGUCCGGAAUUAUUGGGCGUAAAGAGCUUGUAGGCGGUCUGUCGCGUCUGCUGUGAAAGCCCGGGGCUCAACCCCGGGUCGGCCGUGCGGACUGGCGUGCUCGAGCACUGUAGGGGCGGGUGGAAUUCCGGGUGUAGCGGUGGAAUGCGUAGAGAUCCGGAAGAACACCGGUGGCGAAGGCGGCCCGCUGGGCAGGAAGGCUCGCAAGAGCCGGCUGACGCUGAGGCGCGACAGCGUGGGGAGCAAACAGG